AAGACCCCAAUGCGUCGCGGAUGCGG
This 26-nucleotide ribosomal RNA is filed under the name Ziziphus mauritiana (Indian jujube). RNAcentral's name for it is "partial 28S ribosomal RNA". Lineage: Eukaryota; Viridiplantae; Streptophyta; Magnoliopsida; Rosales; Rhamnaceae. The record is from RNAcentral.